Molecule: long non-coding RNA, 1049 nt
Organism: Mesocricetus auratus (golden hamster)
Lineage: Eukaryota; Metazoa; Chordata; Mammalia; Rodentia; Cricetidae
Exons: 3
Source: RefSeq, a predicted model, not a curated record
UCCGGGGAGCAAAGGAGAUGGAGAGGACUCCAGGAGCCAGUCACCAGCUACACAGCCAGUCAUGGAGUAAGAAGUAAAGUAAGUGCAGCUCAUCCCUCAAACUGUGAGUUUUGGCUGAUGUGGAAGUGUGAGGAUACGGCUAACAAAGUCUUUGGGGAAAUCUGUUUGGGACCAGACUGCCCAUUCACGCAUGGCCCAGCUUCUCCCCACUUCCCUGAGGGCAUUUUUGGAAGAUCGUGGCAGCCGGAUAACCCUUGCCAUUUCAGGAUUAGAAGGAGCUUCCCUGCCAGCAGUUAUGUAGAUCGGGUUACCCGGAAUCUCACUUACUCAGGCCUUAGAAUGCAUCACCAUUAUCCCUUGUCUUGAUGCGCCCCACGACCCUGAUUUUUACAAGGGUUUGUCCCUUCAAGCCCUCCUGUCAUGUCCCCAUCAUUCACCGAGAAAAAGAUAUUCCAGUGCCUUUUUACAGAUGUUCUGCUGCCUGCUCUGCGAUGAACUGUUUCUUGAGGAGCCACGGUCUCUUUCACGUGGAAACUGAGGUCCCUAACUGCUAAGAGAGUAGCCAUGCUUCCAGGCCCUCGAGGUGGGCAGACCUCUCCUGUGUAGACAGUGCCCAGUAAACAGGCCCCCAGGACGUUCUCCCUCUCCAGUAGAAUGUUUAACUGCCUCCUUUUUGGCUUGUUCUUCUCCCUGGGAGCAGGGCACAAGCCUAUAAAGUCACACUUUAACAUGUAGACUUCUUAACCCUGGACAGAUGCACAUGGUCUCUAUCAGGUUAAAAGAAAAAUAAUGAAAAUGGAAACGGAACUCAAAACAAAAAUCAAAUUUGGAAACCCCCACUUUUCUUGUGUGGUGUCAACCAGUUUGUGUCUUCUUGAACCAGUCUUUUUAUCCAGUUGGUUCUUUUAUUCCUUAAGCGACUCAUAAAAAAUAAGGUACCUGUCAGGUGGUUGCGGCACACGCCUUUAGUUCCAGGCUUCAGGAGGCAGAGGCAGACCCAUCUCUGUGAGGGCAAGGCCAGCCUGAUCUACAGAGCGAGUUCCAGGACA